UCAGGGAAUUAGCCGAACACCUGUAGAAAAAAGUAGGCA
This 39-nucleotide non-coding RNA is filed under the name Zunongwangia profunda SM-A87. The record is from RNAcentral. Lineage: Bacteria; Pseudomonadati; Bacteroidota; Flavobacteriia; Flavobacteriales; Flavobacteriaceae.